This 451-nucleotide ribosomal RNA is filed under the name uncultured prokaryote. RNAcentral's name for it is "bacterial SSU rRNA". It matches the Rfam family "Bacterial small subunit ribosomal RNA", at positions 355 to 796 of the family's 1533-position model. The record is from RNAcentral.
UGGGGAAUAUUGCGCAAUGGUCGAAAGACUGACGCAGCGACGCCGCGUGUGGGAGGAAGCCUUUCGGGGUGUAAACCACUGUCAGGGGGGAAGAACCUCGCAGUCGUCAAUAGCGGCUGCGAUUGACGGUACCCCCAGAGGAAGCGCCGGCUAACUCCGUGCCAGCAGCCGCGGUAAGACGGAGGGCGCAAGCGUUGUUCGGAAUUACUGGGCGUAAAGGGCGGGCAGGCGGUCUGUUAAGUCUUUUGUGAAAAUCCGGGGCUCAACCCCGUGAAACGCAGAAGAUACUGGCAGACUUGAGACCAGUAGAGGCUAGCGGAAUUCCUGGUGUAGCGGUGGAAUGCGUAGAUAUCAGGAAGAACACCUGUGGCGAAGGCGGCUAGCUGGGCUGGAUCUGACGCUCAUCCGCGAAAGCGUGGGGAGCAAACAGGAUUAGAUACCCCUGUAGUCC